AGCAGUAGGGAAUCUUCCGCAAUGGACGAAAGUCUGACGGAGCAACGCCGCGUGAGUGAUGAAGGUUUUCGGAUCGUAAAACUCUGUUGUUAGGGAAGAACAAGUACCAUAGUAACUGCUGGUACCUUGACGGUACCUAACCAGAAAGCCACGGCUAACUACGUGCCAGCACGCGCGGUUAUACGUAGGUGGCAAGCGUUGUCCGGAAUUAUUGGGCGUAAAGCGCGCGCAGGCGUUCCUUUAAGUCUGAUGUGAAAGCCCACGGCUCACCCGUGGAGGGUCAUUGGAAACUGGGGGACUUGAGUACAGAAGAGAAGAGUGAAAUUCCACGUGUAGCGGAGAUAUGCGUAGAGAUGUGGAGGAACACCAGUGGCGAACGCGACUCUUUGGUCUGAUACUGACGCUGAGCG
Molecule: ribosomal RNA, 410 nt
Filed under: uncultured bacterium
Lineage: Bacteria
Description: bacterial SSU rRNA
Rfam family: Bacterial small subunit ribosomal RNA
Source: RNAcentral